GACGAACGCUGGCGGCGUGCUUAACACAUGCAAGUCGAACGGAAAGGCCCUGCUUUUGUGGGGUGCUCGAGUGGCGAACGGGUGAGUAACACGUGAGUAACCUGCCCUUGACUUUGGGAUAACUUCAGGAAACUGGGGCUAAUACCGGAUAGGAGCUCCUGCUGCAUGGUGGGGGUUGGAAAGUUUCGGCGGUUGGGGAUGGACUCGCGGCUUAUCAGCUUGUUGGUGGGGUAGUGGCUUACCAAGGCUUUGACGGGUAGCCGGCCUGAGAGGGUGACCGGCCACAUUGGGACUGAGAUACGGCCCAGACUCCUACGGGAGGCAGCAGUGGGGAAUAUUGCACAAUGGGCGGAAGCCUGAUGCAGCAACGCCGCGUGCGGGAUGACGGCCUUCGGGUUGUAAACCGCUUUCGCCGGUGACGAAGCGUGAGUGACGGUAAUGGGUAAAGAAGCACCGGCUAACUACGU
Molecule: ribosomal RNA, 467 nt
Filed under: uncultured bacterium
Lineage: Bacteria
Description: partial 16S ribosomal RNA
Rfam family: Bacterial small subunit ribosomal RNA
Source: RNAcentral